UUGUCUCAAAGAUUAAGCCAUGCAUGUCUCAGUACAAGCCAAAUUAAGGUGAAACCGCGAAAGGCUCAUUAAAUCAGUUAUGGUUCCUUAGAUCGUACCCACAAUUACUUGGAUAACUGUGGUAAUUCUAGAGCUAAUACAUGCAAAUAGAGCUCCGACCGGAGACGGAAGGAGUGCUUUUAUUAGAUCAAAACCAAUCGGUGGCGGGUUCGCGAGAGCUCGUCAUCGUACAACUUGGUGACUCUGAAUAACUUUACGCUGAUCGCACGGUCUCGCACCGGCGACGCAUCUUUCAAAUGUCUGCCUUAUCAACUGUCGAUGGUAGGUUCUGCGCCUACCAUGGUUGUAACGGGUAACGGGGAAUCAGGGUUCGAUUCCGGAGAGGGAGCCUGAGAAACGGCUACCACAUCCAAGGAAGGCAGCAGGCGCGCAAAUUACCCACUCCCGGCACGGGGAGGUAGUGACGAAAAAUAACGAUACGGGACUCAUCCGAGGCCCCGUAAUCGGAAUGAGUACACUCUAAACCCUUUAACGAGGAUCAAUUGGAGGGCAAGUCUGGUGCCAGCAGCCGCGGUAAUUCCAGCUCCAAUAGCGUAUAUUAAAGUUGUUGCGGUUAAAAAGCUCGUAGUCGAAUUUGUGUCUCGCGCCGCCGGUUCAUCGUCCGCGGUGUUAACUGGCGUGUCGCGAGACAUCCUGCCGGUGGGCCGCCGUCGGCGUGUUUAACUCGCAAGGGUGGCGCGCACGUACGCGCGGCCCAACUCAACCCUGCCGCGGUACUCUCCGGGCCCAACUCAAUCCUGCCGCGGUGCUCUUCAUUGAGUGUCGAGGUGGGCCGGCACGUUUACUUUGAACAAAUUAGAGUGCUUAAAGCAGGCUAAAACUUCGCCUGAAUACUGUGUGCAUGGAAUAAUGGAAUAGGACCUCGGUUCUAUUUUGUUGGUUUUCGGAACCCCGAGGUAAUGAUUAAUAGGAACGGAUGGGGGCAUUCGUAUUGCGACGUUAGAGGUGAAAUUGUUGGACCGUCGCAAGACGGACAGAAGCGAAAGCAUUUGCCAAAAACGUUUUCAUUGAUCAAGAACGAAAGUUAGAGGUUCGAAGGCGAUCAGAUACCGCCCUAGUUCUAACCAUAAACGAUGCCAGCUAGCGAUCCGUCGACGUUCCUCCGAUGACUCGACGGGCAGCUUCCGGGAAACCAAAGCUUUUGGGUUCCGGGGGAAGUAUGGUUGCAAAGCUGAAACUUAAAGGAAUUGACGGAAGGGCACCACCAGGAGUGGAGCCUGCGGCUUAAUUUGACUCAACACGGGAAACCUCACCAGGCCCGGACACCGGAAGGAUUGACAGAUUGAGAGCUCUUUCUUGAUUCGGUGGGUGGUGGUGCAUGGCCGUUCUUAGUUGGUGGAGCGAUUUGUCUGGUUAAUUCCGAUAACGAACGAGACUCUAGCCUGCUAACUAGGGGUAUUUUGACAUCGCAAAGGCCCGCGGGCAGCUCGGGGUUUGCGCUCCCGGUUGUCGCGCGCGGUUUUUACUGUCGGCGUACAAACAAUUCUUUUUAGAGGGACAGGCGGCUUCUAGCCGCACGAGAUUGAGCAAUAACAGGUCUGUGAUGCCCUUAGAUGUUCUGGGCCGCACGCGCGCUACACUGAAGGAAUCAGCGUGUCCUCCCUGGCCGAGUGGCCCGGGUAACCCGCUGAACCUCCUUCGUGCUAGGGAUUGGGGCUUGCAAUUGUUCCCCAUGAACGAGGAAUUCCCAGUAAGCGCGAGUCAUAAGCUCGCGUUGAUUACGUCCCUGCCCUUUGUACACACCGCCCGUCGCUACUACCGAUUGAAUGAUUUAGUGAGGUCUUCGGACCGACGCGCGAUGGCGUUUCCGCGUCGUCGAUGUGUCUGGGAAGAUGACCAAACUUGAAUCAUUU
This 1913-nucleotide ribosomal RNA is filed under the name Brachycerus muricatus. Its description in RNAcentral is "SSU rRNA". It matches the Rfam family "Eukaryotic small subunit ribosomal RNA". Lineage: Eukaryota; Metazoa; Arthropoda; Insecta; Coleoptera; Brachyceridae. The record is from RNAcentral.